GACGAACGCUGGCGGCGUGCUUAACACAUGCAAGUCGAACGGAAAGGCCCUGCUUGUGUGGGGUGCUCGAGUCGCGAACGGGUGAGUAACACGUGAGUAACCUGCCCUUGACUUUGUGAUAACUUCAGGAAACUGGGGCUAAUACCGGAUAGGAGCUCCUGCUGCAUGGGGGGGGUUGGAAAGUUUCGGCGGUUGGGGAUGGACUCGCGGCUUAUCAGCUUGUUGGUGGGGUAGUGGCUUACCAAGGCUUUGACGGGUAGCCGGCCUGAGAGGGUGACCGGCGACCUUGGGACUGAGGUACGGCCCAGACUCCUACGGGAGGCAGCAGUGGGGAAUAUUGCCCAAUGGGGGGAAGCCUGAUGCAGCAACGCCGCGUGCGGGAUGACGGCCUUCGGGGUGUAAACCGCUUUGGCCUGAGACGACGCGUGAGUGACGGUAAUGGGUAAAGAAGCACCGGCUAACUACGUG
This 468-nucleotide ribosomal RNA is filed under the name uncultured bacterium. Its description in RNAcentral is "partial 16S ribosomal RNA". It matches the Rfam family "Bacterial small subunit ribosomal RNA", at positions 28 to 507 of the family's 1533-position model. The record is from RNAcentral.